This is a long non-coding RNA of Fukomys damarensis (Damara mole-rat), 652 nucleotides long. RefSeq lists it as uncharacterized. The record is from RefSeq and is a predicted model, not a curated record. Lineage: Eukaryota; Metazoa; Chordata; Mammalia; Rodentia; Bathyergidae. The transcript has 3 exons.
GACAGCCCCGAUGAUUAUUUUAACCCGAUUUCACUGGGUGAAAACCCCACUGGGUAACAAGGAGGCCCCAGGCUGUGAUUUUUCUGUUUUCCUAGUCUAUCUCUGACACACGGAGAAGCUGCUCUGAUCAGAAUGCAGGAAGGCAGGAUAGUAAACAGAAAGGAUCCUCCAAGCCUCUGUGCCCAUCGACCCCAAGCAUAAACAGGGGUGUGCACUUUUCUCAAGCACUACCCACAAACUCAGUUGAAUCCGGAAAGGAAAGGUCAGGAAUUGUGUCUCAGGAACCAGUUACAGACCUCAGUGUCUCAGGAGGUGAUGCCCCUGACCAGUGACUUACCAAAUAGCAGCGCAACCAUGCAGCACAGCAUGGUGCCCGUCCUGGUGCCCCACAGGAGGAGGGUCAACUCUGCAAGCCGAGGUGAAGCUGUGGGGAGAGCACCUUCGCUGAUGCUCAGGAGCCUUCGAAACUCCCGCCCUGGUGACAUCUACUGUCACUGUGUUCUAGCAGCCGAGAGUGUGAAUGGUGACUUGACUUGCCCUUCCUCCUCUGCAAGGUGAGAUGCUGCUGCGGCUUUCAGAGAAAGGAACCGGAGAGAGCCCGGAAGGACCCAUGAAAAAAUUUGUGUCAGGUCUGCAGCGACCUCUUGUGGCU